RNAcentral lists this ribosomal RNA (501 nucleotides) under Haugania pycnocarpoides. RNAcentral describes it as "eukaryotic LSU rRNA". The stretch from base 171 to 324 matches the Rfam family "5.8S ribosomal RNA". Lineage: Eukaryota; Fungi; Ascomycota; Lecanoromycetes; Rhizocarpales; Rhizocarpaceae. The record is from RNAcentral.
AAGGAUCAUUACCGAGAAAGGACGUCACCGUCCUGUCCCUCACCCGUGUGUACCCAUAUCGUUGCUUUGGCGCGGCUGCCUGGCUUGACCCGGGCCCCGGGCGUGUCCCGGGCGCGCCAUGAGCCCCAUCAAACUCGUAAUGGAAUAUUCUGAGCGACCGAUAAUAACAAAACUUUCAACAACGGAUCUCUUGGCUCCGGCAUCGAUGAAGAACGCAGCGAAAUGCGAUAACUAAUGUGAAUUGCAGAAUUCAGUGAAUCAUCGAGUCUUUGAACGCACAUUGCGCCCCCCGGCACUCCGGGGGGCAUGCCUGUCCGAGCGUCAUUAAACCCCUCGAGCUCGCUCGGUCAUGGGCACCGCCUCCGGGCGGGCCUCAAACUCAGCGGCGGUCGAGACCGGCGUCCAGCGUAGUGGAACCCCGCUGACCCGUCCGGAUCGACCCGCCGGAAUUAUUUUCAAAACAUUGACCUCGGAUCAGGUAGGGAUACCCGCUGAACUUAA